UACAGGGGGUGCAAGCGUUAUUCGGAAUUAUUGGGCGUAAAGCGCAAGUAGGCGGUUCGGUAAGUUCGGUGUGAAAUCCCUUGACUCAAUCAAGGAAGUGCAUUGAAUACUGCCAAACUAGAGUACAGGAGAGGUGAGCGGAAUUCCAGGUGUAGAGGUGAAAUUCGUAGAUAUCUGGAGGAACAACGGAAGCGAAAGCGGCUCACUGGACUGUUACUGACGCUCAGUUGCGAAAGCGUGGGGAGCAAACAGG
This 253-nucleotide ribosomal RNA is filed under the name uncultured bacterium. RNAcentral describes it as "partial 16S ribosomal RNA". It matches the Rfam family "Bacterial small subunit ribosomal RNA", at positions 524 to 776 of the family's 1533-position model. The record is from RNAcentral.